RNAcentral lists this ribosomal RNA (915 nucleotides) under uncultured marine archaeon. Its description in RNAcentral is "bacterial SSU rRNA". It matches the Rfam family "Archaeal small subunit ribosomal RNA", at positions 1 to 922 of the family's 1478-position model. The record is from RNAcentral.
UUCCGGUUGAUCCUGCCGGAGGCUACCGCUAUUGGAGUUCGAUUAAGCCAUGCGAGUCGCGAGAAUUAGAUUCUCGGCGUACCGCUCAGUAACACGUGGGUAACCUGCCCUAUGCUGGAUAAUAACCUCGGGAAACUGAGAAUAAUGAUCUAUAGUUCACUACGCCUGGAACGGUGAGUGGAUGAAAGCUCCGGCGGCAUAGGAUGGGCCUGCGGCGUAUCAGGUUGUAGGGGGUGUAAUGUACCCUCUAGCCCUCUACGCGUACGGGUGUUGAGAGACAUCGCCCGGAGAUGGAUUCUGAGACACGAAUCCAGACCCUACGGGGUGCAGCAGGCGCGAAAACUUGGCAAUGCGAGAAAUCGUGACCAGGGAACUCCAAGUGCAUGGGGUAAGACCUAUGCUUUUCUAGACUCUAAAAAGGUCUUGGAAUAAGAGGUGGGUAAGGACGGUGCCAGCCGCCGCGGUAAUACCGGCGCCUCAAGUGGUAGUCGCUUUUAUUGGGCCUAAAACGUCCGUAGCCGGUCUGAUACAUUCGUGGGUAAAUCAACCAGCUUAACUGGUUGAAUUCUGCGAGGACGGUCAGACUUGGGACCGGGAGAGGUGUGGGGUACGCUCAGGGUAGGGGUAAAAUCCUGUCAUCCUGAGCGGACCACCUGUUGCGAAGGCGCCACACUAGAACGGAUCCGACGGUCAGGGACGAAGCCUAGGGGCACGAACCGGAUUAGAUACCCGGGUAGUCCUAGGUGUAAACGCUGUGGACUUGAUGUUGGGGGUGCUCCGAGCACUCUCAGUGUCGAAGCGAAGGCGAUAAGUCCACUGCCUGGGAAGUACGGUCGCAAGGCUGAAACUUAAAGGAAUUGGCGGGGGAGCACCGCAACCUGAGGAUUGUGCGGUUUAAUUGGAUUCAACGCCGGA